RNAcentral lists this non-coding RNA (139 nucleotides) under Eremothecium cymbalariae DBVPG#7215. RNAcentral's name for it is "Small nucleolar RNA snR42". It matches the Rfam family "Small nucleolar RNA snR42", at positions 174 to 349 of the family's 349-position model. The record is from Rfam by way of RNAcentral. Lineage: Eukaryota; Fungi; Ascomycota; Saccharomycetes; Saccharomycetales; Saccharomycetaceae.
ACCAAGAUAUAUGGGUCUCAAUCUAGAGACUUGUCAUAGAUAGAAAUAUUAUCCAACUUUAAAACCAUCGUCGUUAGAGGUUGCUUCCGCAAGGUUAAGCGAUCCAUGAAACGGUGAUGACCUGAGGAAUGGAACAUGC